This 340-nucleotide unclassified non-coding RNA is filed under the name soil metagenome. RNAcentral's name for it is "partial contains 5.8S ribosomal RNA, internal transcribed spacer 2, and large subunit ribosomal RNA". The stretch from base 1 to 120 matches the Rfam family "5.8S ribosomal RNA", at positions 35 to 154 of the family's 154-position model. The record is from RNAcentral.
GAUGAAGAACGUAGCGAAAUGCGAUAAGUAAUGUGAAUUGCAGAGUUCAGUGAAUCAUCGAAUCUUUGAACGCACAUUGCGCCCGUCAGUAUUCUGACGGGCAUGCCUGUCCGAGCGUCAUUUCAACCCUCAAGCGCAGCUUGGUGUUGGUGGAUUGCGUGCCCUCGCGGCGCUGCAACCGCCCAAAUACAGUGGCGGUCCCGCUGCGGCUCCCUUUGCGUAGUAACUCACCUCGCACUGGACCGGGCGGCGGCCUGCCGUAAAACCCCAACUCACGAAAUGUUGACCUCGGAUCAGGUAGGAAUACCCGCUGAACUUAAGCAUAUCAAUAAGCGGAGGA